RNAcentral lists this transfer RNA (71 nucleotides) under Loxodonta africana (African savanna elephant). It matches the Rfam family "tRNA". Rfam says of the family: Transfer RNA (tRNA) molecules are approximately 80 nucleotides in length. Their secondary structure includes four short double-helical elements and three loops (D, anti-codon, and T loops). Lineage: Eukaryota; Metazoa; Chordata; Mammalia; Proboscidea; Elephantidae. The record is from Rfam by way of RNAcentral.
GCAAUGGUGGCUUAGUGGUAGAAUUCUUGCCUUCCAUGCGAGAGAGCCGAGUUCAAUUCCCAGCCAAUGCA